Molecule: ribosomal RNA, 220 nt
Filed under: uncultured bacterium
Lineage: Bacteria
Description: partial 16S ribosomal RNA
Rfam family: Bacterial small subunit ribosomal RNA
Source: RNAcentral
ACUCCUACGGGAGGCAGCAGUGGGAAUAUUGGACAAUGGGCGAAAGCUUGAUCCAGCAAUGCCGCGUGAGUGAUGAAGGCCUUAGGGUUGUAAAGCUCUUUUACCAGGGAUGAUAAUGACAGUACCUGGAGAAUAAGCUCCGGCUAACUCCGUGCCAGCAGCCGCGGUAAUACGGAGGGAGCUAGCGUUGUUCGGAAUUACUGGGCGUAAAGCGCGCGUA